UGAGUUUGAUCAUGGUUCAGGAUGAACGCUGGCGGCGUGCCUAAUACAUGCAAGUCGAACGAAACUUCUUUUAUCACCGAGUGCUUGCACUCACCGAUAAAGAGUUGAGUGGCGAACGGGUGAGUAACACGUGGGCAACCUGCCCAAAAGAGGGGGAUAACACUUGGAAACAGGUGCUAAUACCGCAUAACCAUAGUUACCGCAUGGUAACUAUGUAAAAGGUGGCUAUGCUACCGCUUUUUGGAUGGGCCCGCGGCGCAUUAGCUAGUUGGUGGGGUAAAGGCUUACCAAGGCAAUGAUGCGUAGCCGAACUGAGAGGUUGAUCGGCCACAUUGGGACUGAGACACGGCCCAAACUCCUACGGGAGGCAGCAGUAGGAAUCUUCCACAAUGGGCGAAAGCCUGAUGGAGCACGCCGCGUGGGUGAAGAAGGUCUUCGGAUCGUAAAACCCUGUUGUUAGAGAGAAAGUGCGUGAGAGUAACUGUUCACGUUUCGACGGUAUCUAACCAGAAAGCCACGGCUAACUACGUGCCAGCAGCCGCGGUAAUACGUAGGUGGCAAGCGUUAUCCGGAUUUAUUGGGCGUAAAGGGAACGCAGGCGGUCUUUUAAGUCUGAUGUGAAAGCCUUCGGCUUAACCGGAGUAGUGCAUUGGAAACUGGGAGACUUGAGUGCAGAAGAGGAGAGUGGAACUCCAUGUGUAGCGGUGAAAUGCGUAGAUAUAUGGAAGAACACCAGUGGCGAAAGCGGCUCUCUGGUCUGUAACUGACGCUGAGGUUCGAAAGCGUGGGUAGCAAACAGGAUUAGAUACCCUGGUAGUCCCCGCCGUAAACGAUGAAUGCUAAGUGUUGGAGGGUUUCCGCCCUUCAGUGCUGCAGCUAACGCAAUAAGCAUUCCGCCUGGGGAGUACGACCGCAAGGUUGAAACUCAAAAGAAUUGACGGGGGCCCGCACAAGCGGUGGAGCAUGUGGUUUAAUUCGAAGCAACGCGAAGAACCUUACCAGGUCUUGACAUCUUUUGACAAUCCUAGAGAUAGGACUUUCCCUUCGGGGACAAAAUGACAGGUGGUGCAUGGUUGUCGUCAGCUCGUGUCGUGAGAUGUUGGGUUAAGUCCCGCAACGAGCGCAACCC
This 1129-nucleotide ribosomal RNA is filed under the name uncultured bacterium. RNAcentral describes it as "bacterial SSU rRNA". It matches the Rfam family "Bacterial small subunit ribosomal RNA", at positions 1 to 1104 of the family's 1533-position model. The record is from RNAcentral.